This 478-nucleotide ribosomal RNA is filed under the name uncultured bacterium. RNAcentral's name for it is "bacterial SSU rRNA". It matches the Rfam family "Bacterial small subunit ribosomal RNA", at positions 29 to 532 of the family's 1533-position model. The record is from RNAcentral.
AACGAACGCUGGCGGCAGGCUUAACACAUGCAAGUCGAGCGCCCCGCAAGGGGAGCGGCAGACGGGUAAGUAACGCGUGGGAACAUACCCUUUGGUUCGGAAUAACUCAGGGAAACUUGAGCUAAUACCGGAUACGUCCGUAAGGAGAAAGAUUUAUCGCCAAAGGAUUGGCCCGCGUCCGAUUAGCUAGUUGGUGAGGUAACGGCUCACCAAGGCUACGAUCGGUAGCUGGUCUGAGAGGAUGAUCAGCCACAUUGGGACUGAGACACGGCCCAAACUCCUACGGGAGGCAGCAGUGGGGAAUAUUGGUCAAUGGGCGCAAGCCUGAACCAGCCAUGCCGCGUGCAGGAAGACGGUCCUAUGGAUUGUAAACUGCUUUUAUACAGGAAGAAACCCUCCCACGUGUGGGAGCUUGACGGUACUGUAGGAAUAAGGAUCGGCUAACUCCGUGCCAGCAGCCGCGGUAAUGUGACUACUG